This 1921-nucleotide long non-coding RNA is filed under the name Androctonus crassicauda. Lineage: Eukaryota; Metazoa; Arthropoda; Arachnida; Scorpiones; Buthidae. The record is from RNAcentral.
AGCAACUAAAGUUUCAGUGUAUUUUAAAAUUUAUUUCUUUUUAUAUUUUUAUGUAAAAUUUUUAUUUCAAAAUAUAUUUUAUUAAUAAAUUUUUCAUUGAAUUUGUAAUUUCAUAUUAGGAAUAGAAUUUGUACCAUGAUUAAUACUUAAUUUGUUGCAUUUUCUUGCCUGAAUUUAAUAAUAUCUGCUUUCUCUCCUUGAUUCACUAUUGUUGGUGCUAAUUUUUAUAUAGAACUUUAGUUGACAAUGAUAUGGCUAAAUUGCACUUUGAAUGCUUGUGUGCUACCCAUUAUGACUUUCCUGAUUCUGUUGUGUGACGUAAAAUUUUACUGGUGGAACGGACACCUGUGCUUGAAUACCAAUAUUUGUUCUGUUGGAGGAUUAGUAUGUUACCUCUGUGGUAUUCUUCCAUUCUACUUAAUUUUUUUAUUGUUAAUUUACGGUAAAAAUUUCUCCAUUUAAGUAUUUUCCUCCGGGUGAUUUUAUUUAUGUGUGUAUUAAACGUAACUAUUUUAAAGGAAAAAAUAAGUUUAUAGUCUAUAUAGUUGUUUCCUCGUACCUAUAAUGGUAAACUGUAGGCAUCUUUCUUUUGUCCUGUAGAGUCCUAUAGGAAUUUGUGGAUAGUGUCAUUCUAUAGAUUGGCAUUGGCUGUAUACGGUUAGACUGACACUAUCCACCAUUUUUUGUGGGAUUCUAUGGGAUAUGGAAGGGAGAUGUCUGCGAUUUGUCAUUAUGGAUAAAAAAAAGACAACUAUAUAGAGCAAAACAACAUUUAGAAACAGAACAAAGAAGUUUAUAAUCUUUACAUUUAAUCUCAAAAUAUUUUAUAAUAUAAAAGAAGUCUGUUUUUACCAUACAAUAUUGAAAUUAAAUAUUGUUAUAGCUCAGAUUAUAAAAACAACAAUAUUUUGUUUCUUAUUAAUGUCCGAAACAACUGAAUAGAAACUGAAAAAAUAAAAUCGUGGGCAUGUAAUUUUAUAUUAUUUUUUUUUAUCUUUAAAAAUUUGAUGUAUUUAUACUAAAAUAAUAGAACAAUAGAGGAGUAAAAUUAAUUGUGAGACAUUACUUUUAAAUUUAUCCACAAAUGUGAAUACCAAGCUAACUUUUAAAAAGUUAAGUAAUAAUAAUGUGUAGAAUAAAAAAUGUCUAAUCCAGUAAUUUAAUUUUAUUGUUACAUAUAUUAUAUAUAGUAUUGUACUACAGUCUUGUGAUGUUGAACAUUUUUUGUUUAGAAGUUAAAGAAUUAUUAUUUUAUAAAAUAAUAUUAUAUAAGAAGAAUAUUAAUAAAAUUUUUAUGCUUAAGUGCUAUUGGUUCGAGUUAUUUAUCUAAAACAGGGAUCCUCAAAUAUUGUAGAGUCACAAUCUCUUACUGAAAUUUUUUAUACUUCAUUAGUCCCAAUUUUUAAUAAAAAUACUAUUUUUAGAAUACAACAACAUACUUGUAUUCUUGUAACAGGGUGGGCAGUACUCAAAGAAGGAAGAGAAAGAAAGUGAUUAAAAAAAAACUUAAAUACCAUCAAUCGGAUGCCAUCAUAAAUCCCUAUCUUUAAAUACUGUAUAUCAAUUCACAUUGUCCUUUAUGCAGUUCUGUUUUAAAAUCCAUAUUUGACAGUUUGAUUAUCUUUCUUUUGAGCUCUGAAAUUAUGAAAAUAAUUUCACUCUGUUGAUUAUCAGCCAAAUGAUACUAUAGUUUGAUGAACAAGCUACCCCUUGAGGGUUCCAGACAACUCUAGGAACUACUUCAUUAGGCUCCAACUUCUGGCCAUUAUGGCAAGGUUGAACUACCAACAGUCCAGAAAGAUCACUGGAGCCUGUAAUCCCUUUGCCAUGUAAAGGUGUAGGUUUUUAGAAUAUAUUAUUGUUAUUUGAAUUUAAUCAUAAUAAAGAAACUGUGUUUCUUAAUUUAUAUCAUAAAAUAUAG